UGUGACAUACCUUAAUGUUGCCUCGGCGGAUCAGCCCGCGCCCCGUAAAACGGGACGGCCCGCCAGAGGACCCAAACUCUAAUGUUUCUUAUUGUAACUUCUGAGUAAAACAAACAAAUAAAUCAAAACUUUCAACAACGGAUCUCUUGGUUCUGGCAUCGAUGAAGAACGCAGCAAAAUGCGAUAAGUAAUGUGAAUUGCAGAAUUCAAUGAAUCAUCGAAUCUUUGAACGCACAUUGCGCCCGCUGGUAUUCCGGCGGGCAUGCCUGUUCGAGCGUCAUUUCAACCCUCAAGCCCCCGGGUUUGGUGUUGGGGAUCGGCUCUGCCCUUCUGGGCGGUGCCGCCCCCGAAAUACAUUGGCGGUCUCGCUGCAGCCUCCAUUGCGUAGUAGCUAACACCUCGCAACUGGAACGCGGCGCGGCCAUGCCGUAAAACCCCAACUUCUGAAUGUUGACCUCGGAUCAGGUAGGAAUACCCGCUGAACUUAAGCAUAUCAAUAA
Molecule: ribosomal RNA, 500 nt
Filed under: Fusarium sp. CJL-2014
Lineage: Eukaryota; Fungi; Ascomycota; Sordariomycetes; Hypocreales; Nectriaceae
Description: eukaryotic LSU rRNA
Rfam family: 5.8S ribosomal RNA (bases 127-280)
Source: RNAcentral